CCUCAGUACUUUGCUGAUUAGUGGUGUUGGUGGAAAAAUGUAAGCCAACUCGAACUCCCACUUUUGGGAUAAGGCAUGCUGGGAUUCGGCUUGGUUGUUUUUUAAUCUCGAGUAGAAUCUGGUUGCUUGCGAGUUCCUCGACGUGGCCAUCAAGUCUAUUUGUGGUAUUCCCCAUGUCCUCACUACCUGUAGGAAGACUUCCCUGUUUAGAGACCAUUCCCCUGGCUCUAUACUCGCUCUGCACAGGAAGUCUGCUAAGGUAUGUUCUGUUCCUGGUAAGUAUACCACUUUUAGGUCUUUCAAGUGAAUCAUGGCCCAAUGCAUAAUUUGUUGUAGCUGCAAAAGCAGCUGAU
Pelobates cultripes (western spadefoot toad) is the source of this 353-nucleotide non-coding RNA. The record is from the annotation of a GenBank genome assembly. NCBI's taxonomy places the organism in Eukaryota, Metazoa, Chordata, Amphibia, Anura, Pelobatidae.